This 26-nucleotide non-coding RNA is filed under the name Homo sapiens (human). The record is from RNAcentral. Lineage: Eukaryota; Metazoa; Chordata; Mammalia; Primates; Hominidae.
UGCUUAUUAUCGGAGGGCUACUGUCU